AGAGUUUGAUCCUGGCUCAGGAUGAACGCUAGCUACAGGCUUAACACAUGCAAGUCGAGGGGCAUCAGGAAGAAAGCUUGCUUUCUUUGCUGGCGACCGGCGCACGGGUGAGUAACACGUAUCCAACCUGCCCUUUACUCGGGGAUAGCCUUUCGAAAGAAAGAUUAAUACCCGAUAGCAUAAUGAUUCCGCAUGGUUUCAUUAUUAAAGGAUUCCGGUAAAGGAUGGGGAUGCGUUCCAUUAGGUUGUUGGUGAGGUAACGGCUCACCAAGCCUUCGAUGGAUAGGGGUUCUGAGAGGAAGGUCCCCCACAUUGGAACUGAGACACGGUCCAAACUCCUACGGGAGGCAGCAGUGAGGAAUAUUGGUCAAUGGGCGGUAGCCUGAACCAGCCAAGUAGCGUGAAGGAUGAAGGCUCUAUGGGUCGUAAACUUCUUUUAUAUAAGAAUAAAGUGCAGUAUGUAUACUGUUUUGUAUGUAUUAUAUGAAUAAGGAUCGGCUAACUCCGUGCCAGCAGCCGCGGUAAUACGGAGGAUCCGAGCGUUAUCCGGAUUUAUUGGGUUUAAAGGGAGCGUAGGUGGACUGGUAAGUCAGUUGUGAAAGUUUGCGGCUCAACCGUAAAAUUGCAGUUGAUACUGUCAGUCUUGAGUACAGUAGAGGUGGGCGGAAUUCGUGGUGUAGCGGUGAAAUGCUUAGAUAUCACGAAGAACUCCGAUUGCGAAGGCAGCUCACUGGACUGCAACUGACACUGAUGCUCGAAAGUGUGGGUAUCAAACAGGAUUAGAUACCCUGGUAGUCCACACAGUAAACGAUGAAUACUCGCUGUUUGCGAUAUACAGUAAGCGGCCAAGCGAAAGCAUUAAGUAUUCCACCUGGGGAGUACGCCGGCAACGGUGAAACUCAAAGGAAUUGACGGGGGCCCGCACAAGCGGAGGAACAUGUGGUUUAAUUCGAUGAUACGCGAGGAACCUUACCCGGGCUUAAAUUGCAGUGGAAUGAUGUGGAAACAUGUCAGUGAGCAAUCACCGCUGUGAAGGUGCUGCAUGGUUGUCGUCAGCUCGUGCCGUGAGGUGUCGGCUUAAGUGCCAUAACGAGCGCAACCCUUAUCUUUAGUUACUAACAGGUUAUGCUGAGGACUCUAGAGAGACUGCCGUCGUAAGAUGUGAGGAAGGUGGGGAUGACGUCAAAUCAGCACGGCCCUUACGUCCGGGGCUACACACGUGUUACAAUGGGGGGUACAGAAGGCAGCUAGCGGGUGACCGUAUGCUAAUCCCAAAAUCCUCUCUCAGUUCGGAUCGAAGUCUGCAACCCGACUUCGUGAAGCUGGAUUCGCUAGUAAUCGCGCAUCAGCCACGGCGCGGUGAAUACGUUCCCGGGCCUUGUACACACCGCCCGUCAAGCCAUGGGAGCCGGGGGUACCUGAAGUACGUAACCGCAAGGAUCGUCCUAGGGUAAAACUGGUGACUGGGGCUAAGUCGUAACAAGGUAGCCGUACCGGAAGGUGCGGCUG
RNAcentral lists this ribosomal RNA (1509 nucleotides) under Bacteroides fragilis. RNAcentral describes it as "bacterial SSU rRNA". It matches the Rfam family "Bacterial small subunit ribosomal RNA". Lineage: Bacteria; Pseudomonadati; Bacteroidota; Bacteroidia; Bacteroidales; Bacteroidaceae. The record is from RNAcentral.